RNAcentral lists this ribosomal RNA (494 nucleotides) under uncultured bacterium. Its description in RNAcentral is "bacterial SSU rRNA". It matches the Rfam family "Bacterial small subunit ribosomal RNA", at positions 18 to 507 of the family's 1533-position model. The record is from RNAcentral.
CCUGGCUCAGGAUGAACGCUAGCGGCAGGCCUAAUACAUGCAAGUCGAACGGUAUAAGUUGUAGCAAUAUGACUUAGAGAGUGACGUAAGGGUGCGUAACACGUAUGCAAUCUACCCUCAACAGGAGUAUAGCUCGGGGAAACUCGGAUUAACACUCCAUAAUAUCAUUGGGAGGCAUCUUCUGGUGAUUAAAACUUUGGUGGUUGAGGAUGAGCAUGCGUCUGAUUAGUUAGUUGGUGAGGUAACGGCUCACCAAGACGAUGAUCAGUAGGGGAACUGAGAGGUUGAUCCCCCACACUGGCACUGAGAUACGGGCCAGACUCCUACGGGAGGCAGCAGUGAGGAAUAUUGCGCAAUGGAGGCAACUCUGACGCAGCCAUGCCGCGUGCAGGAAGAAGGCGCUACGCGUUGUAAACUGCUUUUAACCGGGAAGAAACCCUCCGACGUGUCGGAGGUUGACGGUACCGGAGGAAUAAGCACCGGCUAACUUCGUG